GAUGAACGCUGGCGGCGUGCCUAACACAUGCAAGUCGAGCGAACAGACGAGGCUCUUGCUUCGCUGACGUUAGCGGCGGACGGGUGAGUAACACGUGUAUAACCUACCUAUAAGACUGGGAUAACUUCGGGAAACCGGAUCUAAUACCGGAUAAUAUAUUGAACCGCAUGGUUCAUUAGUGAAAGACGGUUUUGCUGUCACUUAUAGAUGGAUCCGCGCCGCAUUAGCUAGUUGGUACGGUAACGGCUUACCAAGGCUACGAUGCGUAGCCGACCUGAGAGGGUGAUCGGCCACACUGGAACUGAGACACGGUCCAGACUCCUACGGGAGGCAGCAGUAGGGAAUCUUCGGCAAUGGGCGAAAGCCUGACGCAGCAACGCCGCGUGUGUGAUGAAGGUCUUCGGAUCGUAAAGCUCUGUUAUUAGGGAAGAACAAAUGUGUAAGUAAACAUGGACGUCUUGACGGUACCUAAUGAAAAAGCACCGGCUAACUACGUG
This 497-nucleotide ribosomal RNA is filed under the name uncultured bacterium. Its description in RNAcentral is "partial 16S ribosomal RNA". It matches the Rfam family "Bacterial small subunit ribosomal RNA", at positions 28 to 507 of the family's 1533-position model. The record is from RNAcentral.